This 343-nucleotide RNase P RNA is filed under the name Aquabacterium sp. Its description in RNAcentral is "RNase P RNA component class A". It matches the Rfam family "Bacterial RNase P class A". From Rfam's summary of the family: Ribonuclease P (RNase P) is a ubiquitous endoribonuclease, found in archaea, bacteria and eukarya as well as chloroplasts and mitochondria. Its best characterised activity is the generation of mature 5'-ends of tRNAs by cleaving the 5'-leader elements of precursor-tRNAs. Lineage: Bacteria; Pseudomonadati; Pseudomonadota; Betaproteobacteria; Burkholderiales; Sphaerotilaceae. RNAcentral also lists the same sequence under 1 other name. The record is from RNAcentral.
GGAGCAAGCCAGACCGCCGCUGGGGCGAUGCGCCGAAAGGCGGCCCUGGAGGAAGGUCCGGACUGCACAGGGCAGCGUAGCAGCCAACGGCUGUCCACCGCAAGGUGAGGAUCAGAGCAACAGAGACGAGUCGAAGCGGGGCCUCGCCCCGCUUCGGGUGAAACGGGCAAUCUCUACGCGCAGCAACACCGAAUAGGCCGGCAUCGAUGUGGCCCGCGGAGCCGGCGGGUAGGUGGCACCGAGCCGGGUGGGCGACCCCCGGCCCAGAUGAAUGGCGGUCACGACGCCGCGCCCGCAAGGGAGCGGCGCCGCACAGAAUCCGGCCUAUCGGCUUGCUUCACAC